UGCUAAAGUUCACUUCUGCAUGAGUACAAUCCCUUUCUGUCAAAUCAGAAUUGAAAGGAUUGCAAAGGAGAGGCACCGGUGGACCUUUUUGAUUGAGAUAAAGAACUCCAGCUGUAGGUGGUUUCUUGUGCAGUUUUAUUGUCCAUACAUGGCAGAAACUGAAGGCUCAGUGAUGCAUUAGCUGUGGGGUUUUGGAGCCAGUCAUCCACUGCAACACAAGUGUCCGCCACCACACUGAAGUUUGACAGAAUGGGUUUGUUUAGAUGACAAUUUUUCAUUUCUUUUUCAGGGACAGGAUUUAUCAGAAUGAGAGAUUAUUAUCAUUUUGAAAGAUUUCAAAGAUGUUAAACAAGAUUUUCUUUAGAAUCAAAUGAAGUGCAUUGCUUACUUGUGAAAAUCUAAAUUCAUGUAAUUCAAUGGAGCUUACUUGUGAAAAAUGAGAAAUAUCCCACAUAGAAUGAAUGCUAAUGUGACAAGAAUCCAUCCCAGUAUAA
Hevea brasiliensis (rubber tree) is the source of this 494-nucleotide long non-coding RNA. RefSeq lists it as uncharacterized. The record is from RefSeq and is a predicted model, not a curated record. The transcript has 2 exons. NCBI's taxonomy places the organism in Eukaryota, Viridiplantae, Streptophyta, Magnoliopsida, Malpighiales, Euphorbiaceae.